GACGAACGCUGGCGGAGUGCUUAACACAUGCAAGUCGAACGGAGUGGCGAACGGGUGAGUAACACGUGGGUGAUCUGCCUUGCACUUCGGGAUAAGCUUGGGAAACUGGGUCUUAUUCCGGAUAGUGCAAGAUGAGCUCGCGGCCUAUCAGCUUGUUGGUGGGGUAAGGGCCUACCUCGGCGUCGACGUGUAGCCGGCCUGAGAGGGUGUACGGCCACCUUGGGACUGAGAUACGGCCCAGACUCCUACGGGUGGGAGAAGUGGGGAAUAUUGCACAAUGGGCGGAGGCCUGAUGCAGCGACGCAGCGUGGGGGAUGAGGGCCUUCGGGUUGUAAACUCCUUUCGACAGGGACGCGGUACCUGUAUAAGAAGCACAGGCAAAGAAGGUGCCAGCAGCCGCGUAAUAC
RNAcentral lists this ribosomal RNA (407 nucleotides) under uncultured bacterium. Its description in RNAcentral is "partial 16S ribosomal RNA". It matches the Rfam family "Bacterial small subunit ribosomal RNA", at positions 28 to 526 of the family's 1533-position model. The record is from RNAcentral.